RNAcentral lists this long non-coding RNA (1108 nucleotides) under Cyanistes caeruleus (blue tit). Its description in RNAcentral is "lncRNA (ENSCCEG00000012110.1)". The record is from RNAcentral. Lineage: Eukaryota; Metazoa; Chordata; Aves; Passeriformes; Paridae.
AUGGGCCAUCAGAUUUGCCAAGUGUCAAGUGUUUGGAGCAACACCAACACCCUUGAUCUCUACACUUCCAGUCUGGCUUUUCUGGUCCCAGGAGCCACAGGGAAUCUCUCACCACCAAUGGUCCUGCACCAAGUCUCAUGGAGUGUGAUGUCCCUGGAGGAGAAUUCCAACUACUGGAUGGGGGAAGAUGCUUGUCAUCACUGGGAGGCUUUGCUGUAGGGAGCUGGCUGAUGGCAAGAAGAGAGGAAUAACUGCAUGUGCUAGGCUAGAAUGCUGGCAUGACUCCACUCAGCAAAGGGACCACUGAGACACAGAAGACCAAGGGGAUCAGUCAGCAGUGACCUGCAGCCAGUUCCCAGCCCCUUGAAAAGCAUGGCUUAAGUUGACAGCUGGCUUAGAGGUGUUCAAAGGAGCUGCACCUUCUUCAGUGUGGCCGUGCAGCUGCAAAGUCUGGGGAUCUGAGCAGUGCUUUAAUGCUGAGCAUGACCUUAAUUGUACAAAGACAGAAGAAACUUGAGAGCCUCUGCUGGCUCAGCUUGGCAUGAUGUGCAAGCAUGCUGGCACCCUUUCAUCCCAGACAUUCAAAUGUGAUGCAGGAUUUUCCCAAGCUGUUUCCAGCUGCAGCUUUGAUAGAUUUAGCCCUUCCAGCACAUAGAAAGCAAGAGCAGUGAGUGUUUCUGAUGCCAGGUUGUGUAACCCAGCAUUAGGAGCUUGUCCCAGGCCCUACACUGAGAAACCAUAUUCUCCACUCCAGGAGAGGCCUGCAGCCUGGAUCACUCACCUGCAGAUGUCCACCAGACCAGGCAUUAUCUCUGAGUGCUUGUUGUAACUUGCCUUGCUGCUGCAUUGCUGUCCUGUAAAAAAAGGGAAAAUUACUAAAAUGCUCAGUCAUCCUGCUAUUAACCCCCCAGGAGUGCAUCCCUGCUGGCUUUAUGGCUCACUGUUUAUCAGCACUGGGCUGCUGUUGCAGGGCAUUUAGAAGCAUUGAAAGAUUUGUGCGUAGAUUCAUUGGUUGUCUAAGAGAUCUUGUUGAUCACCAACUUAAAAGUUAGUGUGUGUCUGCUAUGAUUGCUUGCAUGGCUAUAAAACAUUAAAGAGAUAAUUGUUC